This is a non-coding RNA of Dermacentor andersoni, 190 nucleotides long. The record is from RefSeq and is a predicted model, not a curated record. Lineage: Eukaryota; Metazoa; Arthropoda; Arachnida; Ixodida; Ixodidae.
AGGUAGUCGAUACGUUAAACGUCUGCUAUACCAAGAUAACAAUAGCGAGUGUGCCGUUACGGAGUACCAUUACGACUGGCUUUCCGAAGAUGGUUCCUGCUGCCAAGAUUCACAGGCGAACUGCUUCUGCCGCAAAAGAAUAAGACUCUAUGAGCGUGUGUAUGUUUGGGAAAAUUAUGAAGCUGUAUUA